Molecule: long non-coding RNA, 661 nt
Organism: Parasteatoda tepidariorum (common house spider)
Lineage: Eukaryota; Metazoa; Arthropoda; Arachnida; Araneae; Theridiidae
Source: RefSeq, a predicted model, not a curated record
GUUUUGUACUUAAACUAAAUUUAUAACAUAGAAAGUGGGAGAAUUUUUUGAUGAAACUCGCUACUUCUAAUUUUUGGGGAAUUCAAUCAAUGUUUCAACCAUUUUUAGUCUGAGAGAUAUUUAAUUAAAACUCAUUGUGAGAUUAAAGCUGCAUGACCUUUAGAAAAAACAAUUUUAAAUUAAUCGGCCAUACCUAUUUUGUAAAUAAUAAGUUUUCUACUUUAUUUUCAGGUAAAGCUUUUGAGAAGUAUGAAAUUUAACUAAACUUCCAAAACCUGAAUGAUGCAGAGAUUAAACAUCUUUAAAAACUUUAUGAAUAUGGGCUUUCAAAUUCACAGAAGGCCACUGACUUCACUCUGCACAAAAUAUCUGCUCAAAGAUGUCUCAUUUUCUCCAAAUUUAUUUACUCCUAUGAUCAAUCAAGUUCGUACUUUUAAAGACAAAGAUGUGCUGACCAAGCGAUGUAAAGAUUGCUACUUUCGAAGACUUGAUGGCCGGUGGUUUGUGUUUUGUAAUACACAUCCUAGACAUAAGCAACGUCAAAGAGUCGAUGAAAAAAGUAAAUGGAUAAUUACACAUAAAACUCAUGGUGUUAAAAAAUUUUAGUGUCAAUUUUUUCUGUACUAUUCAAUAAUUAAAUAAACUAUGUUAUAGAUAAUAA